UCAACACAGGUGGAGACAGAGAACUUGACACUAGAUGGAAAUCCAACUGAAUUAUACAUUUUCAGUUGAAUUCCCCAGCCUGCGGACAAAUCUUGGCUCUGUGGUUGGUGUGGAAUCUUCCCUGAGCAAACCAUAGAGUCGAAGCAACCAGCCAUCCAGGAAAGAAAGCUGUCAUUUUGGCCAUAAAAUCUGCCAUGAACUUAAAAACCUCAGUGGUGCAGAGUUCAAGGUAUCUCCAGAUUUCCUUAAUUGGACAUUACUCAAACUCACCUGGAAAGAAACAUGCACCGCUCAGCACAGAGGCCCGAACCCAGUGGCCAGGGGUCAUCCGAAGGAGCCUCUCCUUGAGAAGCCACAUACUGCACUGGGAACCAGGAGCCAUCAAACCAGGUCAGAAGACCUUAUCCUUAUUCCGGAUUGGCCACUGCAAGUUGUGUUACACGAAGGAGAAUCACAACCCUCCCCGCUUGGCAGACAUCAGAAUUAGAAUCAGAAAGUGCAACA
This is a long non-coding RNA of Mustela erminea (ermine), 504 nucleotides long. RefSeq lists it as uncharacterized. The transcript is spliced from 3 exons. Lineage: Eukaryota; Metazoa; Chordata; Mammalia; Carnivora; Mustelidae. The record is from RefSeq and is a predicted model, not a curated record.